Molecule: long non-coding RNA, 12019 nt
Filed under: Gossypium raimondii (Peruvian cotton)
Lineage: Eukaryota; Viridiplantae; Streptophyta; Magnoliopsida; Malvales; Malvaceae
Description: long non-coding RNA (GRAI_LNC000024)
Source: RNAcentral
CCUCCUCCAAUGGAUAAAAGCGUGGUGACUGAUGGGUUUUUUUGUUUGACUGUGUUUGUGAAAGUAGAGAAGUAUUGGUCAUCGGAAGAAGAAACGGAGAGCUGAUAGGAUGAGGCAUUGAUGUUAGCAAAAGCGCAAAUAAGGUGAGUGAAAAGAGCUGAAUUUAUAUCGGCAAUGGGGAAGUCAGUGCCGGAAUACCAGUAACCAGCUUGAAUCCAGGUUUGUGCUCGUGAUGGAUUGAGUCCUAAAGAGAGAAAAAUAUAGAGAAGUAUGAUAAACUUGGGUACCAUAACCAUGGAGGAAACUUUCAGGGUGAUGAUUUCUUCGAGAGUUGAUAAUUAAAUGUAGAAUUUGGUUGGAAAUGAAUACAUAAAAGAAAACAGACAAAUGUAAUGCUGUACCCGCUCAUGCCAAGACAUAAAAUUCCUCAGAUUUUUAAUUUUACCUCAGAUUUUUUAACACCAUAAAUUCAUAACAGUCUUACGCUCUUCUUCCUCGUAAUUUCAUCACGUUUAAUACUUUCCUGAGGUCUACAAAAAAGUGUGCUUCCAGCAAUAUUAAACUAUUGGCAGGAAGGAAUAUUUUUAGUAUUAAACGUGAUGAAAUUACGAGGAAGAAGAGCGUAAGACAGGAUUUUUAUGAAUUUAUGGUGUCUGUGGAUUUCAGCUGAGUUGAAUUAAGUAAUGAGUAGUUCAAAUAUACAAAAGACGUUUCGUAUGAGAAUAUAUCUAGUAUUACCAAUGGAUCAAGUCCAUCUUGGACAGCACGGGAUGAAAGCCACUUGGAGAGGAUAAGUAAUUUAAUUACGAAAACUGAGGGAUUUUCUUUUAUCAAUAUAAUAUAAAAACAAUUUAAUUAUAAAAAUUUACGAAAAUAUGAUAUUUUAUAAUUAUUUUAUUCAACCAAAAUGGUAUUCUAUGAUUAAAUAUAUAAAAUAAAAUAAAAGCUAGUUUUGAUUAAACUAAUGAAAGAGAAGAGAGAUGUUUUGUGACGAAUAUUGCUUUUGUAUUGGAAACUUUUUUGAAGAACAUGAAUAAGGCUAAAAAUUGGUUUUUUUUUCAUUUAAUUAAGGUUAAUAAAAUAUAAUAUUUUUAACGAAAAAAUUAAUCAAUGAUUUAAAAAAUUUAAAAUAAUAUCGCUUGACACAUUAACAACAUUGAAAAAUAUUAUAAAAAUCAUUUUAUUUUCAUAAAUAACCUACCAUUUAUAUCAUUUUCUUAAGCAAUAUUUUUAUAUUAUUUUGACAAAAAAAACCCAUACAUUAUUAAAGAUUUAUCUCUUUUUCAUGUUCCACAAAAGGUGGGCUCAUUUUAAUUGUAAUUACCAAAGUCUUUGUUGUCUUUUUCUUUUAACGUGAAGUGAUGGUUUGAUUUUUCUUUCUUUUGCGUACAUUUGAUAACAGUUUAAUAAAUUUAUUAAAAUUAAUUGUUCACAUGAGAUAAUUACAUUUACAAGAAACAACUAUAACAACAGCAACAAACACAAUGAAUAGAGGGGAUAACAAAGUUGUUUAACAUGAACUCACUAUCUUUGAAACAAAUACAUCGGAUAAUCUUAGUUCUAACACACUCCAAAUAAUAAUCCUCACUCUUAUACUUUAAAGACUAGAUCCCUUUACAGUAUCCCCUGAGAACUUAGCUAGUAAAACCAAUUAUAGAAAGAUUUUACAAUCACGGUCCCUUUUAAACAACAACUAAAAUAGCUAAAUACAAUAAAAUAUUAAUGACCAAAGUAAAAUGGACUAUUGGCAAAUAAAUCUUCUAAUUUUGUCCCAGAUAUGUAUUUUCAAAUUAAUUGAUCUUCAUUGAUGGGUUUGAAUCAUUCCAUGACAUCAGCACAAUCCAAAGAUUUAGUUCAAUAUAUAAAUCGUCAAUCUUAUAUAUAAGACAAGUUAUUGUUUUGUCGCAAUGGUAGAGGAAGUGGCCAUUUUCCUUAGCAGAUUGUAGCAGCUUCAAAUAUUUCAACACUAGUAAAAAGUAAGGGCUCAUGUACAGGGCGAAGGUAGAAAUUUUUUUGGGAGGGACGAGAUUAAAUUAUAUGCUUUUAUAAGAGUUAAAGUGCUACUUCACCCUUAUAUUGACUUAUAUCUUUAUGAUUUUCAAAUGACAAAAUCAAUAUCCUAACAAUUUGAGAGGGGCAAUUUAUAAUUGAUCACAUAUUAACUUAAAAUUUGAUAAAUCUUUUGGAGUCCUAAACAAACAAUUUCCUACUCUAUGAGGGGCAAACAAUAAGCCGAAUAUCAUGUCCUACUCAAUUUCCUAAAGACAGAUUGCAUUUCAAUUUUCAAAACAAUUAAUGGCAUUCGGUUGUGUAGGACAACUACUACUGAUUUAUAAUCUUCUAGACUUGGGUUUUCAAUUUUAAAUUUAGGGUGGGUUUGGAUGAAAGGUGCGUUUAUCUACGAUUAGUGUAAAAACAAUAGUAACGAUACUAUAGCAUGAGACAAAAAAUAAGUUAAAUGCACUAAACUACAUCGCACCACCCAUCUAAAUUUACCCUUAUUUAAUUUUUAAGAAGAUCCAAUUAAUCUUGAAUUUAAUUAAAGUUGAAAUAAUAAUAACAUCAGAACUUAGAUAGCAGAAAUUUAAAGAUUUUGGCUUUAGAUUUUAUUUCUUACAUAACGAAAUACAAAGAAAAUGCAUUAAUUAGUCAAGAUUUAGUAAUGUGUAAGGCAUAAAAUUAUUAAUUUCAAAUCUCUAAUUAUACUUUAAUUUCUUAUUUUGAGUUGUGGGCGACAUUGAAAUAGUAAGUAUAGAUAUAUAAUUGAUGGAAGUAAUAAAGUGCGAAUAGUUAAAAUUAAAAUGUAUAAAAAUAUCAACAUAAAACUUUAGUUAGUGGCCUGGUUAAGGGCCAACUCAGUAAAACAUAUAGAUACAUAUCCGUCCAUGUUUGGGGUUCAUAAUUGUCUUUCCCAAUAAUAUUGUCUUCAAGAUUAGAAAUGCAUUGCUUUACCAUUACACCAAAUAUUUUUUGAUAAUAUAUCUAUAUUUCUAUCUAUUUAUCCACUAUAUAUAUAUAUAUAUAUCUUUUAAUUGUCAUUACCAAAUUCUUUUUUUUACUUAAAUAUUAAAAGGUACUCAUAAGUUUAAUUAAUACCAAGGAGUUUGGAAUCGAUUGAUCAGAGGUAACUCCUUAAAAGCAUAGAAAUAGUAGGAGAAUGGAACGAAUACAGUCUUUUGAAAUUCUUUUGAUCCCUCUUUAAUCCUUAUUGAUAACCCUUAUUUCGACCAUACUAACAUCCUUAUAGCUCUUCGACCUUUAGGUGAACUAUCAUGAAUCAUCACAAUCUCCUCCUUAUAUUAGCACAUUCCUAUCUCUAAAUCUUCAAGUAAGAAUUAAGAUCACAAUCUAUCUCUUUUUUUCCUUUCAAAAAUCCUUUCUUAGAUCACUCAAUCUUUGGGUCAAAAAACUAGUUUAAUAAAUUGAAAUUUUGGAAAAAAAUAAUGAACGACUCUUUUUUUUAAAAAAAAUUCGUUUCACAAUUCUUUUGGUUCUUUUCAAUUCGUCAAUAUUUUCAUUUAAUAUAUAAAAUUGAAUUACUAAAUCUAUCAAUUUUCAAUUGAAUCAAUCAGUACAUUACACAAGUUAAUGAUUUUAAAAACUAUGUAUUAUAAACAUUUUCCAACAAGUUAUUAUCUUAGUGGCAAGACUUAGUGAGUUUCUGUAAUGGCCUGAAUUUUCAGUGAUGUCGGAAUGGUGAUUUUAAGAUCACUAAAUCUGGCAAAUGAGUAGAAAAUAUUAUUAAUUUAGUGAGUAUAAGUUUAAUGUGAAGUUAGAAAAAUUUUUGAAAUAGUGAAUAGUGUACUAGGAAUAAAUAUUAAAAUAAUUAGAAUCGGAAAUGAGGUAUCGAGACCUCAAACUCAUAAACCGAGCUAUAAAUAUUUUUAGAAAUAUUUAUAGAGUGUCAUUGAGUUGGUAUUAAAGUUUUGUUAGAAAAUUUUAACGUUUGGAUAGUCAAUUAACUAAAAAUGACUAAAUUGAAAAUAGUGUAAAAUUUGUUAAAUUGUGAUUAAAUAGCUUAAGUGACUAAUGAGGAGGGAUUUAAAAGGCAAUUAGUCCCAAAAUUAUAUGGGCUGAACGGUUGGGCAAUAAAAAUCAGCAAGAUGGUAAGGAGAAACAAGGGCAAAAUUGGAAACUUUACAAAUUAAAUAUAUAAAACAAAGACAAAAGUGAAAAAUCUAGAGAUUUCUUCACAAUUUAUCAUCAAAAACGCCAUAGGAGGUCUGAAACAAGCUUUUUUUUCAUAUAUUUGACUCAUGUAAGUUUAAUUCUUGAUUAUUUAUUCUAAUUUUUGUGAUUUUGAUACUUUUACAAUUAGGUCCAACUAAUUAUCUCAUUAGUUUUUUAUUUCAUGGCUGAUUUUGAGAGUUACCAUUGAUUAGUGCUGAGUUUUUAUGAUGAAUGAACAUGGAAUUAAAGCUUUAAUUUUAUUAUAUGAUGAUUUUAUUAACUAAUUUUGAUAAACAUUGAUUUUAGGGACCUAAUUAUGAAAAAGUUUGGAAUUAGGGUUUGGUGUUGAUAUUUUGACUAUAAAAGGCUAUAUAGUGGUAUAAAAUGGUUGGAAAAAGUGCUAAUUGAGAAAAAUUAGAUCAAUUGAGGGGUUAAAUGAGUAGGGACCAAAUUGUAAAAAUUGUAAAGUUUGGGGUAAAAUUGUAAUUUCGAAAAUUAAAGGGGUAUAAAUUGUGAAAUGAAUUAGAAUUGAAUUAGAUGCUGAUGAAUUAAUAAAUUUGUAUUUUAGAUCAAGAACCCAAAGGUAAACGAGGAAAGGAGAAAAUUACCGAUUAGCCACUAAACUUCCGCAACUUUUCCAAGGUAGUCAGGUAAGUUCAUAUGGCUGAAAUUUAAUGAUUAAAUGUUAAUUUCAUGAAUUAUAUAGUGUAUGAUGAUAUAUAUUUGUUGAUGGAUUGGAAAUAAAAUAAUAAUGCGAAAAGCGAAUAAAUAAUCAAAUUGAGCGGAAUGUCGGAUUUGAGUACUUCUGAUCAGUGAUAAGUGAUAAGUGGUGGCUUUAGCUACACUUAUCUAAUCAGUGACAAGUGAUAAGUGAUAAGUGGUAGCUUAGCUACACUUAUCUGAUCAGAGAUAAGAGAUAAAUGAUAAGUGAUUCCGUGUAAGACCAUAGCUGGGUUAUGGCAUCGGUAUGUAUUAUGUGAUUAUGUGAAAGACCAUAGUUGGACUAUGGCAUCGAGGAAAUGAAGUACUCAAUUCCAUAAGACGUUCACUAAUUUUGAUAAAGUCGGUAAGUGUUACAUAGACUCAUAUUCAAGUGGUAGAUUUAUCGUAGUUGUUGAAAUUAAGCUCAAUUAAAUGAUUUCAUCAAUUGGAAAUUGUGUAUGGCAGGAAGUGUAGUGAAUAAUAAGAUGUGAAUUAUUAUGAUUAGUUCGGUAAGAUUUAUCUUAAAUGCCUAUGAACUUACUAAGCUUUCUAUAAGCUUACUUGUGUGUGUUUAUUGUUUCUUGUAGAUUGACAUAUAAAUACGUUCGGAGGAUCGGAUCUACAUCAAGAAUCACACUAUCCAGAUUUACUCCGGUAGAUUUUGUUAAAUAACUUUUUGAUUUAUAUGGCAUGUAUAGGGAUUUGAAGGAAAAAGUAAUAGAAUGAAUGACUAAUUAUGCAAAGUAAAUCUAAAUGUGAUGGUUGUGUUAGACAUUGAAAUAUACAUGUUUUUAGCUUGAAAUGGUUGAUUGGUUGAACUUUAUUAGUAUUUAAAUGAAGUAGUUGAGAUACUGAAAUUGGUUGUGAUUUGAAAAUUGUAGGGAAGGUUAGAUAAUUAUAAAGGGGUUAUAUUGAUUUUUUUUAAAAUAAUAAUAAAAUUGCAAUGGAACAGUUUUUGGACAGCAACAUUGUUGUAACUUUGAAAAAUCACCAAAAAUUGUGGGAAUUGAAUUAGAAGCUGAGUGAGAUAUGAAAUUAAAGCUGAAUGAGUCUACUUUCAAAUGAAAGAAUAGAGUAAGCAAAAGAGUUAUAUAUUUUUAGAUAUUUGAAUUUUAGUGAGACAGGAUAAGAAUGGUUUUUGAAGUCCCCUGUUCUGACUUUAGAAAUUCAUUAAAAAUUGUACAGAAGGAAUUAUGAGUUAUAAUUUAUAUGUAUAGAAUCCUUAAUGAGUCUAUUUUAAGUAGAGAAAUAAGUGGAAGCACCAUAUGAAGUCUGUACAAUGAGAUAAUUGAAUUUUAGUGACAAGAGGUCAGGAUAGUCAAUCAGUGAAACAUGGGAGACUUUAAAGAAUAAAAUGUACAAAUUGGCUAAACAAAAAAUUCUGAAAAUUUUAUGCUAAGAAGAUAUAUGAGUCUAGUUUCAAGGAAAAUUUACGGAUUUAAAUUUUGAGUUUCGUAACUUGAGUUAUAAUUAAUUUAGUAACUGCUGCGAAGGUGGAUAACUUUAUUAUGAAUGGUGAAAUUAAUUUUAAAAGUAAAUUUUUAUGCCCCGAACUUUUAAAUUAAGUCAAGUAACGCCUCAUGCUCGACUCCGAAAAUGGUCUCGGGUAAGGGGUGUAACAUUUUAUUUGUAUCAGAGCCCAAUUUAGCCGGUUCUCGGAAUAUGUGUGAAGUGUAAAGUGUUUAGAAAUACAUGCCAUAUAAAUCAUAUGUAAAAUCAUAUGUAACACAUAAAAAGCAUUUAUUCAAAAAAAUAUAAUUUUACGUUAAUUACUACAAAUAAAAAGAUAAUAUUUAAAUAAUAUUAAAUAUUAAAUACGUAAAAUUAUAUGUAACACAUGCGACAUUAGAUAUUUUAUGAAAAUUUUUAAAAAAGAAAUUGCAUAAUCUAAUUAAUUUUUUUUUAAAGUUUCAAAGGUUUAAUAAUAAUUUUUAAAACCUUUUGGGAUCUAUUUAAAAUUUUCAAAAAAAUUUAAAAGUAUAACUAAAAUUUUUAAAAAUUUUGAGGAGCCAAGACCCUCCGAAGCCAUAAUGAGGACCCACCUCUGCAUAUAGCUAUUUUUUAAAGAGAAUAAAAAGAAAUUAACAAUGCACCAAAUGCUAUUUCUUUAAAAUUUAAAAAUAGACAAUAUUUUUCAACAAGUCAAUUUUAUAAGUGUUGAAUUUAUAUUAGAAAAUUGCUUGGUAAAUUAGUAAAUACGAGUAUUGAAUUCAUAAAAGUAAAUAUUAAUUUUUAAAAGAUUGUUUAAUUUUAAUUUUAAUCUUAUUAUGGUAAUUUAAAUAUCUCAUUUUUUAAAUGAUAAUUAAUGUGAUAAAUAGCUAUCUACCUAAUUAUCUCAUUCAAUACCUUUUUGUUGAAAUUUUUUAUAUUAAAUAAAAUAUUAAAUAUAUUUAAUAUUAUAAAUUUAAAAUAUUAAAUGUUGAAAAUUUCCAUUAAAUUUAAUGGUUUAUUAGUAAAGCUUAUAACUAUUUCCAGAUAUAACAAUAAGAAGGAAACUAUCAUAAAACAAAUGAAGUGAGAUAAUUCGUGGACUCUAUUAAUUUUCGUUUGAUUGCAUUAGUUUAGUAUUGCUAUUAGAAAAAGUUUGGUAAUUACAUGAGUUAAAGAGGAUCACCAGGGUGUAGUUAGGCCGACCUCUUAAAAUGAAAAUUUUUCUAUUUAGGCCUUUUAAAAUUUUAAAUUAGUAAAAAUAAAAUUACACUUUGGUUCCUUAAAAAUUAUAAAAUUUUGAUUUAAUCCUUUAAAAGUUAUAAAAAUAUAAACUAUUAAAAUAGUAAAAUUGCAUCUUUGCUAUCAUAAAAAUUAAAAUUUAAUUUUGGACCCCUUAAAUAAUUUUUGACUUUGCCCUUGGAUCGAAUUGACUUAAGAGAACGAAUCAAGUCAAAAUAAGAUUCAAUGAAUAAAGUGACAGCCAAUGGUCAAGCACUGACUAACGAUUGUCCUAAGUUGACCGGAUGCGUUAGGGAAGGUGUUUGCGCGUAGGCGAUGUCGAGAGUAAUUUGCUGGAUUAGUUAUUCAAUUUUAUACAUUAAAAUAUAAUUUUUAAAUAUGCUUAUAAAAGCAAAAAUAACAUUAAAAUUAUUCAACAAGUCUCAUUUGAAUAGCCAACGAGUAAAUGGAAUCAAACCUAUCAAGAUUAUAUGAAGUAAUGUCUUUUCAAAAAUAAAGGUUUGUAGAGAUUGGUUGGUAAUUGAUCACGAAUUUAUGAGUUAUUUAUAAUUUGCACACGAAAUUAAAAACCCUAAUACUAAGCGGCUUAAUAGUGAUCUCUAAAUUCUAACUUUACUAAUAUUAAAAUUUAUUUAAAAGCAAUUUAAAAACAAAUUCGAGUAAGGUAAGUAAAAUCCAUAAAACAUUUCUAAAAUGGUAUAAAAACAACCAAUCCAAUGAUUUUCGCAAUUCGUAUAAUUCCACAAAACAUUUUUCAUAGCAAAUUGCAAUUUGGCAACUUUCAUAACACAAAAUUUUCAACGAAAGCCGACAAUCAAAACUCUAUUUUUUUUUUGUUAGUGUGGAAGUUUGGUGAGGAAAACCUCAAACUUACAAAUGAAAUACGAACAACAACUCGAAUAGAAAAACAAAGCAAUAAGACAAGGCUUCAAGGCAUGUAUAAAACUACUAUUUUUAAGGUUUUAUCCCCCCACCUAUACUUAGUGUGCAAACGAGUUUCAACCAAAUGAACUUUGAUCAGGAUACAAUAAGCCCGAUGAUUAUUUCCCUUUUACACUGACGAAAAUAAUUCACUAAGCACUGCGGAAAGUAUAGAACAAUAUUGAGGACAAAUAGAAAAAAACUUUUAAAUUUUUUUUGAUAUAUUUUCCAAAUGAAAUCCCAUUGCUAUUUAUAAGAAUUCUAAUAUAUAAAGACAUUACUUUCUAUAGGUGGUUUUUUUAUUUUUGAAUAAAUACAUAUUUAAAAUAGACAUAAUUAUUCAACUAAUAUUUCAUAAAUUAUAGACAUAACUAUUAAAGUAAGAGAUAAACUUAUUCAAGUAACAUCUCUUAAAUAUAUAGUUAUAAUUCUUUGUAAAAAAAAACUGAUAUAAAUUAUUCGUAUUUAAGGGAUUUAAAUUAUCAUGAAUAGUUUAAUAACCAAAAGAGAUAAAGUUGAAAUAGUAUUUGAUGAUAACAAAUUUUCUUAGCCACCAAAGUCAUCGACCAACCACUUCUGAUAUGGGCGAGUCAUCGAUUGAACAUAUUUCAGGUUUCAAAUUCGAUCUCUUUAGUUCAUCAUUUUCAUUGGUUCUUUCUGAGAAAGCAGGUCUUUUCGGGUUGGCCAUCGGUGUGGUUUCAUUUCUAAGCAUCGACGACACUUCCAGCAUGGUAGGCCUGUCAUUGGCAUUUUCCUGCACACAUAACAAAGCUAUUUGCAUGCAUUUCAAUAACGUGCAUGAUGAAUUUGUGUCAUCCAGUGUGGGAUCCAUGAAUUCCAUGCCUUUCUCUUGUGUCCAUAAUCCAUAUGCCUGAGUUUUAUUCAAACAUUAUAUUCAAUUAUCUUCACAACUUAAUGAUUGAAAAAGGGUAUAGAGAUCAUGUUGAGACUUACGAAUUCAAGAAGACUUAAAUUUUCAUGUAAUCCAUAUAAACAUGCGGUCUUUCGUCCACUUAUGAUCUGAAGAAGUAGGACCCCGAAACUAUAUACAUCUGAUUUGAUGGAAUAUAAACCCUUUUUAACAUAUUCAGGAGGAAUAUAACCACUGCAAAAGCAAAACAAAGUGUCAAUGUCCACACUCAAUUUUCGUAUUCUCAGAAUUAACUUACUAUGUGCCGACAAUGCGGUGUGUGUUGGCUUCAACUUCAUCUUUAGAGAAAAUUCUAGCCAUUCCGAAAUCUGAUAUCUUGGGCUUCAUUUCUUCAUCUAGUAAAAUGUUGCUAGCUUUUAAAUCUCUAUGAAUAAUUUUCAAUCUCGAGUAUUCUUGAAGAUAUAGAAGCCCUUGAGUAACUCCUUCAAUAAUUUCAGCACGUUUUUCCCAAUCCAACAUGUACCGUUUUAUUGGAUCUGUAGACAAUGAAACAUUCAUCAUAAAUGAAAACUAAGAUAAGAUUUAACCAGUUAUUGUUCAACCAGUAAUUCAAUUGCUUAUAGAUUAACUAUAAAUUACCAUAAAGGUAGUAAUCCAAACUCUUAUUUGGCAUAAACUCAUAGACCAGCAUAUGUUCUUCUCUCUCAAUGCAGAAUCCCAAAACUCUAACAAGGUUUACAUGCUGCAGUUUUGCUGUUAGCAUGACCUCAUUCUUAAACUCUUCAAAUCCUUGUGUAGAUGUUUUCGAAAGUUUCUUUACUGCUAUUUCCCGUCCAUCUGAUAAGACACCCUGGCAAAUGGGAAUUUAAUUAUUUACAGUUCCUUGGAAAAGUGCAAUGUAAUUUCCAAAAUUUUACAUCAAAUAGCUAGAAUAGCUUAGCUUUACCUUGUAAACAGGACCAUAUCCACCUUCCCCAAGCUUAUUUUCAAAUGAAAACCUAUUAGUGGCCACCUCAAUAUCAGAGAAUCUAUAAACCAUCAGAUUAGGAGCAUUGCUGUUGAAAUCUCCAGCUUCUGUCAUAAGAUUUGCUUUGGACUUGGAAUUUUUAGCUUUGUACUCGGCAUCUGUUAACCAACCAAAAAACAUUCAUGAAUAAACUGCUUUGUACUCGGAACUCUAUUUACAUAAAUCAACAGGAUCGAAGUUUAGAGAUUUACUGCUAAAUAAUGUAGAGGGAAUAGUGAAUGAUGCAGUUAAGUGAGAUAGCUCGAAAUAAAUACCUUUCUUCUUAUUCUUUGUCCUUCGAAUGUAGUACGUCAAUGCCCCGAUCAAAAUCAAGACCCCAGUGACUGGAACCAAUAUAAUAAUCAACGACAACCGCCCUUUUUUCUCUGUACCAUUCUCACCAUUGACAUCAACUGAUACAGAUUUAAAAAUAAAUAAAUAAUGAAAGCUUGCCAGAAAGAUUCUUUUUUCAUUAAUUUCAUGAUGUUUAUUUCUAUGGCCUCUUUAGAUUAUAGUUUUUCUUAGUUAACUAAUUCCUUUUUUUUUUUUGGUCCUUCUCAAGCCGGCUUGGUGAGCUUCUUCUUCAUUGUAUUUUGAUAAAAGUAUCACGAAAACUCUUGUAAGCAUACCUGCAGUUUGCGAAAGCAACCAAUUGUCGUCAUUGGGAACUUGCCACACAAAGUAGCCCAGCAGCUUCCUUUCCUUGGCAAAGGAAACUUUGACUUUGACAACCUCAACAUCAUCGAAACCAAUCCAGGUGGUUCCUACGGUGCAGUAAUUCACUACAAAAGUAGCAUUAUACACUGAAUUGGCGCCAUGACUAUGAAUAUAAUUCCUUAUCUCCUUGUAUGUCAUCUCCCCAGUUUUUGAUAUAGCCGGCCCUGACGCUGGUGCGCCAAUCGUGUUAUCCCUGGGGUUGACUAGUGUCCACGCAUAGCCAUACAAAGGCAAACCCAAAACCAACUUAUUCGCUGGUAGUCCUCCAGUAAUCCAUGAUUCUAUACCGAAAUCUGCAUUGAAAUUACUGGUUGGGUCAUAUAGUGCUGCAUGAGCUCUCGUGAGGUUUUCCCAUGUUGGCAUGUAAAAAUCGAAGGCAUUAACGUGUAACCAGUUCAAGUUCGUCCUCAAUGAGUCUAUUGGAUAAGUAGACGACUGUGAAUAUUGAGAAUAUGGAACUGCAGCCGUUAAUAUCAACUUAGACUGACCCGUCUCUGAAUCUAUUGCAGCUCGCCAUUCUUGGAAGAGAGCAGCCAUAUUGCUCAUAUCGGAGCUUGUGUUGGCUGAAACCCAGCUAAAGUCUAGGCCUUGGAAGCCGUAAAGCCUAGCUGUUUUUAUUGAGGAAUCAAUGAAGGAUUUCCUAUGGGACGAAUUGCUUACCAUUGAAACUAUGACUGAACGGUUUGCACUUCCUCCUCCAAUGGAUAAAAGCGUGGUGACUGAUGGGUUUUUUUGUUUGACCGUGUUUGUGAAAGUAGAGAAGUAUUGGUCAUCAGAAGAAGAAACGGAGAGUUGAUAGGAUGAGGCAUUGAUGUUAGCGAAAGCGCAAAUAAGGUGAGUGAAAAGAGAUGAAUUUAUAUCGGCAAUGGGGAAUUCAGUGCCGGAAUACCAGUAACCAGCUUGAAUCCAGGUUUGUGCUCGUGAUGGAUUGAGUCCUAAAGAGAGAAAAAUAUAGAGAAGUA